RNAcentral lists this non-coding RNA (28 nucleotides) under Mus musculus (house mouse). The record is from RNAcentral. Lineage: Eukaryota; Metazoa; Chordata; Mammalia; Rodentia; Muridae.
UAAAAGGACUGAACUUCAACAAUUCUUC